RNAcentral lists this ribosomal RNA (249 nucleotides) under uncultured prokaryote. Its description in RNAcentral is "partial 16S ribosomal RNA". It matches the Rfam family "Bacterial small subunit ribosomal RNA", at positions 524 to 772 of the family's 1533-position model. The record is from RNAcentral.
UACGGAGGAUGCAAGCGUUAUCCGGAUUCAUUGGGUUUAAAGGAUGCGUAGGCGGACUAUUAAGUCAGUGGUGAAAGCCUGCAGCUUAACUGCAGAACUGCCAUUGAUACUGAUAGUCUUGAGUUUGGUUAAGGUAGGCGGAAUGUGUAAUGUAGCGGUGAAAUGCUUAGAUAUUACACAGAACACCAAUUGCGUAGGCAGCUUACUGAGCCGACACUGACGCUGAGGCACGAAAGCGUGGGGAUCGAA